Dermacentor albipictus is the source of this 458-nucleotide non-coding RNA. The record is from RefSeq and is a predicted model, not a curated record. Lineage: Eukaryota; Metazoa; Arthropoda; Arachnida; Ixodida; Ixodidae.
GCUGCCUGGCUCCAGUGUAAAUAGCCUGUAAACAGCCUCUUCUGUCUGUGUCUUUCCACACGCAACAUGCUGGUGGAAGUCAGCUAUCCCCGUCAGCAUGCCCCACGAACUCCGAUUCGCCGAACUCCGAAGUGGUCGGCAUACGAAGCUUGUCACCAUGCCUCCCGGUGACGCGCCCACCUCUGCAACGGCUUCGGCUUGUCCCACUGCUCCAAUCGUCACGGUCGCCCCACAUCGCGACCCGGGUAUGUUCUCUGCCUGGAGGGACAAAAUGUUGACGACUGGAUGAAACUACAUGAACACGCCAGUGCUAAUAAAAGGGGUGCCAAGUGAGUUGCAUGCGCUUUUCUCGGUGCCGCCGGGUUGGAUGAAGAGGCCGUCCUCGCGAAGCCAGCCGGUGACCUCGAUGUCCUCCCGAACGAAGGUGGGCAUCUGGCAGUGCAGAACGGCAGUGUUGC